CAUAUCAAUAAGCGGAGGAAAAGAAACUAACAAGGAUUCCCCUAGUAACUGCGAGUGAAGCGGGAAAAGCUCAAAUUUAAAAUCUGGCAGUCUUUGGCUGUCCGAGUUGUAAUCUAGAGAAGUGUUAUCCACGCUGGACCGUGUACAAGUCUCCUGGAAUGGAGCGUCAUAGAGGGUGAGAAUCCCGUCUUUGACACGGACUGCCAGGGUUUUGUGAUGCGCUCUCAAAGAGUCGAGUUGUUUGGGAAUGCAGCUCAAAAUGGGUGGUAAAUUCCAUCUAAAGCUAAAUAUUGGCGAGAGACCGAUAGCGAACAAGUACCGUGAGGGAAAGAUGAAAAGAACUUUGGAAAGAGAGUUAAACAGUACGUGAAAUUGCUGAAAGGGAAACGCUUGAAGUCAGUCGCGUUGUCCAGGGAUCAACCUUGCUUUUGCUUGGUGCACUUUCUGGUUAACGGGUCAGCAUCAAUUUUGAUCAUUGGAAAAAAGUUGGGGGAAUGUGGCAUCUUCGGAUGUGUUAUAGCCCUUGGUUGUAUACAAUGGUUGGGAUUGAGGAACUCAGCACGCCGCAAGGCCGGGUUUUUAACCACGUACGUGCUUAGGAUGCUGGCAUAAUGGCUUUAAUCGACCCGUCUUGAAACACGGACCAAGGAGUCUAACAUACCUGCGAGUGUUUGGGUGGUAAACCCGAGCGCGUAAUGAAAGUGAAAGUUGAGAUCCCUGUCGCGGGGAGCAUCGACGCCCGGACCAGACCUUUUGUGACGGUUCUGCGGUAGAGCAUGUAUGUUGGGACCCGAAAGAUGGUGAACUAUGCCUGAAUAGGGUGAAGCCAGAGGAAACUCUGGUGGAGGCUCGUAGCGAUUCUGACGUGCAAAUCGAUCGUCAAAUUUGGGUAUAGGGGCGAAAGACUAAUCGAACCAUCUAGUAGCUGGUUCCUGCC
Molecule: ribosomal RNA, 937 nt
Filed under: Cortinarius citribasalis
Lineage: Eukaryota; Fungi; Basidiomycota; Agaricomycetes; Agaricales; Cortinariaceae
Description: partial large subunit ribosomal RNA
Rfam family: Eukaryotic large subunit ribosomal RNA
Source: RNAcentral